GACCACACGAAGCUGGAAUCGCUAGUAAUCGCGGAUCAGAAUGCCGCGGUGAAUACGUUCCCGGGUCUUGUACACACCGCCCGUCACACCAUGGGAGUCGGAAACGCCCGAAGCCAGUGACCCAACCUGAGAAGGAGGGAGCUGUCGAAGGCGGGGCCGGUAACUGGGGUGAAGUCGUAACAAGGUAUC
This 189-nucleotide ribosomal RNA is filed under the name uncultured bacterium. RNAcentral's name for it is "partial 16S ribosomal RNA". It matches the Rfam family "Bacterial small subunit ribosomal RNA", at positions 1314 to 1500 of the family's 1533-position model. The record is from RNAcentral.